RNAcentral lists this ribosomal RNA (40 nucleotides) under Lyophyllum shimeji. RNAcentral describes it as "partial 25S rRNA". The record is from RNAcentral. Lineage: Eukaryota; Fungi; Basidiomycota; Agaricomycetes; Agaricales; Lyophyllaceae.
UUUUGACCUCAAAUCAGGCAAGACUACCCGCUGAACUUAA